Molecule: long non-coding RNA, 1218 nt
Filed under: Rhinopithecus bieti (black snub-nosed monkey)
Lineage: Eukaryota; Metazoa; Chordata; Mammalia; Primates; Cercopithecidae
Description: lncRNA (ENSRBIG00000045143.1)
Source: RNAcentral
UGGAGACACAGUCAAACCAUAUCAAAGAGUUAUGCUGCUUUGGUAAUCUUCCUGUUGAAAUAAAUUAACAGUGAAUCAACAUCCUGUAUCUUGCUAUCAUGUUGGCUAUAAACAAUCCAUUAAAAUGUCAACUCAGAGUACAGAAGAGAAAUGAUGCUGGACAAAUGUAUGAUGCUGAUAAAUGAUCUGAUUGUGACCUCAAACCAUGAGCAAGUAAAACAGAGUGGAACUCUUCUCACCAACUGUAAUUACUGGGCACCAGCCCACAAACCUUACUGCUGUGUCUGAAUUCUGCUUAGCCUAAAACUAAAUUACACACUGGACUGCCAACCUGCCAGAUAUUUUUUCUAUGUUGCAAAUCAUCUUCUUGCUAAGGAGUCAAAGACUUUGUUCAUUUGGAGUGGUUGUUCUGUUGAAAUUACUGUGCACCUGCUGAAGAGCUAAAGUACCCAUGGCACAUAGUCAAAGAAGGCAACUGCUCCAUUCUCCUAUCUCUGCAGCCCUUACAUGAUAUGGAAGGAGAGAAACUAGACCCCAGUCCAAAUCAGGGCAGCAUUCUUUGACAACACUGACUUUAACAACAUGAUGGGCCAUUUUUUCCCGCACCACAAAUUGAAGAAGUUUUCAAAAUUGGGCAAGGCUGAUCUGAUUUACUCACCCAAUUGCAUACAAGAAGCUGUAAUUGAGAGUGCAGACUUAGCUGGGCCUCCCGGGAAAAGCCCUUAUUUUUCUCUUUCCUCAUGGAGUCUUAAAGAACAAGAAAGAACAUUCUUGACGGUGUCUGUGACUUGAUCUCUCCAAGAGGAAGAUGCACAGGAGGUCUAAACGCUUACCAUCUAAAGAGUGGUGCUUGGACCCACAGCAUCCUCAUCCCCUGAAAGCUCCUUAGAAAUGUGGAGUCUCCAUCCCCACCCUAGGUCUACUGAAUUAGUCUUCAUUUUAAUAAGAUCCUUGGGUGAUUCACAUGCACUAUCUAUCGUGUGUAAAUUCUAUCAGGUGUAAAUAACUGUUUAGUUACAUACAGGAAAUUGCUCUCCUGUAACAUGACAGAUGCAGAUGUAUCUUUGAAAUACCUAAAAAUGUGCCCUUCUGAGGAAAACAUUAGCUCUGUUCUGCAGAAAAUUGUGACUAGAGAUAUGAAGUGAUUUGUUCAAAAUUACAUUGUUAAUAAUUCCAAGACCACAGAUAGAAAAUAAACAUCCUGCCGCAAUAUAGGCU